GCCCGGGUGGCGGAAUAGGCAGACGCGCAGGACUCAGGAUCCUGUGGGAGAAAUCCCGUGCGGGUUCAAAUCCCGCCCCGGGCA
RNAcentral lists this transfer RNA (84 nucleotides) under Balnearium lithotrophicum. RNAcentral's name for it is "tRNA_Leu_CAG". It matches the Rfam family "tRNA". From Rfam's summary of the family: Transfer RNA (tRNA) molecules are approximately 80 nucleotides in length. Their secondary structure includes four short double-helical elements and three loops (D, anti-codon, and T loops). Further hydrogen bonds mediate the characteristic L-shaped molecular structure. tRNAs have two regions of fundamental functional importance: the anti-codon, which is responsible for specific mRNA codon recognition, and the 3' end, to which the tRNAs corresponding amino acid is attached (by aminoacyl-tRNA synthetases). tRNAs cope with the degeneracy of the genetic code in two manners: having more than one tRNA (with a specific anti-codon) for a particular amino acid; and 'wobble' base-pairing, i.e. permitting non-standard base-pairing at the 3rd anti-codon position. Lineage: Bacteria; Pseudomonadati; Aquificota; Aquificia; Desulfurobacteriales; Desulfurobacteriaceae. The record is from RNAcentral.